UGGCGACCGGCGCACGGGUGAGUAACGCGUAUGCAACCUGCCCGAUACCGGGGUAUAGCCCAUGGAAACGUGGAUUAACACCCCAUAGUACUUUUAUCCUGCAUGGGAUGUGAGUUAAAUGUUCAAGGUAUCGGAUGGGCAUGCGUCCUAUUAGUUAGUUGGCGGGGUAACAGCCCACCAAGACGAUGAUAGGUAGGGGUUCUGAGAGGAAGGUCCCCCACAUUGGUACUGAGACACGGACCAA
Molecule: ribosomal RNA, 244 nt
Filed under: uncultured bacterium
Lineage: Bacteria
Description: partial 16S ribosomal RNA
Rfam family: Bacterial small subunit ribosomal RNA
Source: RNAcentral